Molecule: RNA transcript, 6348 nt
Organism: Canis lupus familiaris (dog)
Lineage: Eukaryota; Metazoa; Chordata; Mammalia; Carnivora; Canidae
Exons: 5
Source: RefSeq, a predicted model, not a curated record
GUGGGCGAGGCCGCGCUGCUGGAGCGGUGCUCCCUGGAGGAUGCUCUGCGGGGCGCAGGGAAGGUGUGGAGGGGCCUGGUCUCCGCGCUGCAGGAUACCUGAGGUGGGGUUUUCAUCCCACACCUGGACGGAGCGCCAGCGCCGUGAGCUCCUGAAGGCUCGCCUCAGGGUGGGGGGCCUGGCCAUUGUGGCGAAUUGUUCUUUACGCGUGGGACACGAGGGUCGGACGUUUAACAACUGCGCUGUCGCCCUAACCAUAUUCCGAGCCCCGGGCUGGUCUCUUUCUUAUGUUUUUAAACGCAAGAGACGCACCGCAGUCCGCGGCCCUACAGGGUUGACAUUUGGGUGCAUCAGGCGGAGGAGCCAUUGGGCCUCCUGAAUCAAUAUGAAGACAGCGGGGAUGCUGGUGGCCGUGGGCGCGGGCGCGGGCGCGGGCGGCCUUGGCUGAGCACCUUCCCCCUUCGGGUCCUCCUGGUGCGCUGGGGCAUCGCCUUGUAACGCCCUGUGCAUCGGGGCCCUCGGCCUUCCCAGCAGGUCAUCUCCGCAUUCCGAGGUCACACCUGCAGCCUGUCGCUGCCGGGAAGCCACAGUCAUGGGGCCCAGGCCUGCCGGUGCCUCCUUUCUGCUGAGGCUGGAUCUGGAAGUGGCCAGGGUGCAUCGCAGACAGACACCUUCUAAGGCGCCACCGAUUUCCUCCCCCUGCCUGGCCUUUCUCAGUAUGAAAACAAUCUGUUAUUUCUCUCCUGGAUUCAAAAAGCCAGUGAGCCCACGGAAGACCUCCCCGCGCCCGCAUCUCCCUCCUGCUUGCAGCGCGUUCCCUGGCUCCUUUGCCACCAGCGUGUCGGCCUUGCUGGCAUUGUCCCGUGUCUCUGCAGCGCUCCAUCACGUCUGCCCGCCUCAGGGGCACCAGGGGAGUCAUGUUGCCUGGUCCAUCAGAAACACGUGCCCCAGCAUCUGGCUUUACAUCAGCAUGAGCAUCAGAGCCAGCAACGGAGCCUCUGCCCAAGGACCCCUCGCAACGCGAGUCUCCAGGUGCAGCAAUCUAGGGUUGUACCUACGCCUUCAAUAGCAAGAAUCUCCACGGCUCUUGUAUACUACUUGGGUGUGUGCACCGUGAACACCACCGCUUCCCACGCAUGACUCUACAGUGGGUGACGGUGACUGUGAGUAGCAACCUAAGCCUACGGAGCUACCCAGGGAGACGGCUACAGCACCCGACCCGCCAGCAGAACUCACGGCGUGGUCUUUUCCUGGGCCGGGAGGUUAGACCGUGCGGUUCUUGGGCUUGGCCCCAAGAGGGCACUAACUACACGUGAUUGCUCCCAGAACAGCGUGGCCAAGGCCUCUCGGAUUCUGAGCCAGGAACUGAAUCUGGGCAGACGUAGGCUGACAACCUAGAGAGAGGUCUUUCGGUUUUUCUCUCAAAUCUAGAAUCCAUCCUUCUCCCUGUCUGGGAGAGCCCCCAGUUUCCCUCCGGCAACCUUUUUACCAUUUUGCUAUGGUGACAAGAGUCCUAGGAUCUUAUUAUCCCAACUAGGUAAGCGUGAUCCAGUCUGGGACCACGGAGGACGCAGGACUGGCUGUAGCUGUGUGGCGCAUUCAGGAAGCCGGCUGCAGUUCUAUUCUGUGACCCCACCACGGCUUCCUAGGUCACCCUUAGGCCUCCUCUGGAGGGGAACGUUUACCUGUGCUGCCCUGAACUACUCUGGCAGGAAACCGGGUUUUGUUCUGUUGCCCGUCGCCCUCCAUCCUUUGUGGAAUGUUCUCUCUGCCCGACCGCUGCCCGUCCACACUCCCCACGACCUCACCCCAGGGAAGGUAGAGGAGACCUGGGCAGACCGUGAAUGGGCACAGAGCCGAUGAUCCGUGCUCGGGCCUGACUAGCACAGGAAGAGAGACAAAGAAGAGGAGGACCCUGAAAGCCGAGAGGAGACGUGAUCAGGGCCUGAGAGAGCUCCGCACGAUUAAAGCAGAAGGUUGAAAAUGAAACUGGGAUGAUACGUAGAAAUGUGCACCUGCUUGUUAAGGAAAGUGAGAUCCUCGGGACCGCCGAUGCCUCCUUGGUACCGCUGGGUGUGGGGUACGGUGGCGGCCGUGCUGGGGGUCAUGGUGCGGUGACUCCCCCUGUCUCUGGAGCCCGUGUCUCUCCCGUGCCACCAGCGUGGAAGGGACACGUGAUCCACACGCCUCCUGACACACCUGCUUCGUGGGACUAACUUACCUGUGGCACUAGUCCCCCUCCUGCCCAGGGCAGGGAUCUCUCAUGCUCCCCCGGCACAGAGCCUACCACUUUCUACUCUCUGAGACGGAGUGACAGAGAACCCUGUGCCCCAUAAGACAGCUCACUCUACACUCAGACAGCCCUACUAAUUAAAUCAUCCCUCUUUCAGUAAAUUCACAGAUUGUCUUGUUCCUUUUAGCCCCAAACCACUCAUUUCUAUCAGAAACAACAUCCAAUAACUCUUCGCCUUCUGCUGCCUGAGAGUAUCUCAAAUAACUGACCGUGACCAUCUUGGUAUUUUGAAAAUCACGACUGGAAUUUGGCUUUUCGUGAUGAGAUCUAACUUGGCCAUCGACCUGGGGCACCGUAGCCAGAUUAUACAGCUGCGUUACAUGGUCUUGGUGAGGAGCCAGCAUGUCAUCCACCCUUCCAUCUAUGAGUCCUUUCAGUAAAUACGCAUUGAGCUCCUACGAGGCAACAGGAAGGUUCUGGUGAUAAAACAGGGAGUGGAAAACAAAUCCAAGUUUUGGAGAGUGUACGCUCUAAUGAGUGAGGUCUAAUUAUUUUUCUGAUGAAUGAAAAUUAAUGAAUUGAUAAGGUGACAUAUGGCUUAUAAAUGAAGAAGAUGGUCCUUCAAGACCAGAUGUCAAGGGAACCUAACAAAAGCCAGGAGUGAGGGGUCGUGGUAUCAGAUGAGGCCUCUCAUGGCAGGUGACCAUUGGGUUCAACUCUGAGAAAUGAAUAGGAGUGGAUGGUGCUUCCGUCGGAGGGAACACCAUGUGACAAAGCCUUGUUGCAGAAGUCGUUGGCUUAUUUAAGGACUAGAGAGAAAACCAGUGUGAGUGGAAUGCAGACAAUCAGCAGAGGGUGGUUGAGAUGCCCUUUGAGAGACACACAUGGUGCGGCUGGGUGGAGCAUUAUUAGAAUUGUCUUUGUUUUAAGAGAAUCAGAAGUGAUCAAAAGGAUUUAAGCAGGGGAAUGAAACUAGAUUUUCGUUUUGAAGUGAUGCCUCUAGAUAUUGUUGGGGGAAAAUGUGAUGGGCCAGUUUGACGCUGGAAACCACUCUAAGUCAGGAAGAGCUAGUAGUAGCUUUGAUUAGGUCAUAAAAUGGAAAUGGAGGAAAAUACACAGACUUGGUCAUAAAAUGGAAAUGGAAGGAAAUACACUGAGCUGAAAGAGAUUUGAGAAGAAGAACCAGGAUUCAUGACAGAUUGGAAGUGAAAGGCUAGUGAACAAGCACCGUCAGGGAGGAUGCUUUGGUUUCAUUCAAAUAAUUACAUUUGCCACGAUGAAUGUACGUAUGCUACAUGGGCUACAGACAGUCAGUUCUUUUCUGUAAAAGUUUUCGUAAGAGCUAAAAGGUAAAUUCACUCCAAAAAAAUAAUUACAGUAUCAAAAUAUUAUUGGCAUGGUCAUUUCCCAGAAGUGAAUGGUGCUUUAUUUGUGUCUGAUGCAGAUCAGUGUCCCAAUGCACAUUAUCAGAGAUGUUGGUGAAACCCCAAAGAUCAAGGAGCUUCAAGCUCAGCCCCUUGGAACAAUUGUGAAUGGGCUGUUUGCAGUCCUGAAGGUGAUGAAACUGCUUUCCACCUUCGUGCAGCACGAGAACCAGCAAAUAGGGUUGCACAGCUACUGAGCUAUCGCUGUUUGAGUAAAGGAAUGGAGCCAGUGACUCCACGGCACGAGAGCUGCAAUCCCGUGCAACACAGAAGCGUCUUCCUGCAAAUCCCCAAAAGGCGCCUCGUUCUGCAGCCCGCUGGCCAUGACACCCCCUCAGGGACACCAAUUCUGAAUACAUACCCAUUGUUUUGAGCAAAAGCAAUCCUUCUCUUGCACACAGGCCUUGGCAACAGAAGCACAGAGGAUUUCCGUGUUGACCUGUGCCCUCAGCUGGGUUUCUCGGAGCCUAUUCUUGACUCCAGGCUCACCUUGUCAGGGUCACCCCCAAAGUCUAAGUGCAAAUAUUGCUUUGGAGCCUGUGUGCCCGACCCUGAUCUGCAGCCCACAAAUGAUUCUCUUUUAAGCAACACACCAAUGAAUUAGACUCCCGUUAUAGCACUCUUUUAGGAAAAAAUGUUUAUUAUUUUUUUCCAAAUUAUGAAAACGAUACAUGCAAAAUAUGGUAUUAGGAUGGCACAGCAAAGUAUAAAAAAGAAAAUAAAAACUACCCAUGACCACUCUAUUCCUUAGAAUUGAUAGAUGGUAUAUCUAUCGCUGAAUUUCUCUCAUGUAUAUAUAUAUAUUUUUUUUUCCCUCUGAACUUAGAUUUUAUCUCCAUAGAGAUCAUUGUUGAUGCCAUCCAUUGUUGAUGUUCUUAGAAGGACAUCAUGGUGAGGUUUCCAUAUGUGAAUCAGGAUCGAGUGGUUGUUUCUUGUUCUUCCUGGACUUGAUGACCUUGAAGAAGAGAGAGAUAAAGACAGGACAGUUGAGACGCAGCUGAUUCUACCUUUCUCUCUGCACUGACUCUAUCUCCCUGCCACUGGCUGCAUCCCCUUUGCUCUUCCUUCCUGUGAGGCUGUCACUCUCAUCCAUCUGCUUCAAUGAAUUCCCAUCCUUUGAGUCACCCCCCUUCCCACCUUGGUUGAGACCCUGAAAUGAGGUAAUCACUCGCAUACAGCAGGAGUACCUGUGGACAGGGCGGGAGAAGGAGCAGAUGUACUCAAUGGCAAGAGCUGAGGGGAAGGUUCUCACUGGGAAAACACGUUGGGAGGAGGGUCUGAGCCUGCGAGGGAAAGGCUGGAAGGUUUGAGGGCCUCAGAAGUGGAGAGACUUCAGAGUGUGGGCACUGCCAUGCGUCUGGAUGCGUCAACCUUUGUGUUGAUCUGUGUCAUUCUAGCCUUUGAUAGUCUUCCCACAAUCCUGCAUGGAUGUGUGUGACAAAGAGCAUGGACUUCGUCCUGUACGACCAGCCCCUUCCGCUGUGUAGACCAGUCUGUAUAUAACACUAAAAUAAAAACUGGUCCCUUUGUGUUUUGAGAUAUUCAGUGGCACCGUGGAUCCUUUAGGUCUGGCAUGAACUCUGUUUAACAGCCUCUGGGAUAGAUGACAUUCCCCGCCUAUUAUAGAUGAAGAACCUGAGGUUCCUGGUGUUUAAGUUCACCACCAGUUAGAAAAUCACAGAGCCAGGAUUUGAAACAAGCCUGCCUUAAUGAAGCUCAAAUUUACUAAAUAAUCUCCCUACUCUGACACAUUCAAUCAACUCUGUAAUAUUUAGCUAGAUAUUAUAUACUUUGAAGGCCUCAAUAAGAUUACACAUCCCCUUCUCUGAUAAAGGAAAGAAUGACAGGAAAGGACAGUCAGUCUAGUUUUCUUAAAGUCUUCUUUGUUGGAAGAAUGAUAUUCCCCAGAAGUUCCCACCUUCAUGAAACUGUGAAUUACAGAUCUCAGCUUCUUCACAUUGUCACUUAGUUCAAAGCAGGUAAGUCUGAGUUUAUCGCCUUCCUCACAGUCGACUUCGGUCAGGCGUCCAUACACCCAGACCUCCAUCUUCCCUGUAUUGUCUUGUAUCUCAUACGAAAUGAUCUGUUCAUUUAACACGUUUUUCUGCAAAAGAAAGUCAGAACCAUUCUCCUGAGAACUGGAUCAGGUUUCCACAUCUAUUAGAAACACAGGGUGUGAGUGUAAACUGUUGUCUCUGACAGGUUAACAUGAUCUAGAGGUCCAGAAUGAGGGGCAGCAAAUAGGUUAAAGUAUUUUGUUCAGGGGAUUCUCCUUAAUGGGUCUGGCGAUUGUCAUUAAUUCUCAUUAAGUAGAGAAUUAUUUCAGUCUAUAAUUUUCCUUUUUUUUUUCUAUUCUCUAUUCACUCUCAAUCUGCCUGAAUCCUUAAUCUAGAUUAUCCAGUCACAUUGCUCUAGGUAUCCUCUCACUCACUCUACUCACUAAUUCUGCAUAUGCACCUGUGUGCAUAGCCACUUACACAGGGGGCACAGGAAACAACAGGGGUCGAAGGAAAGAGCCACCCUAGAAGACAUGUUAAAUGGAGUAUGGAACAAAACUCGUCAUGGAAAGUAGGGUUGGCUCAGCCUAGUAUCUCCAUGAUGUGCUGGGACAGAAAUAUCUACACCAGUUCUAAGAAUUCACCAAAAUUCUACAUUUCAUUGCCCAUAUUAAUAAAUUGAGUAUUUUUAACU